Molecule: ribosomal RNA, 253 nt
Filed under: uncultured bacterium
Lineage: Bacteria
Description: partial 16S ribosomal RNA
Rfam family: Bacterial small subunit ribosomal RNA
Source: RNAcentral
UACAUGGGGUGCAAACGUUGCUCGGAAUUAUUGGGCGUAAAGCGCACGUAGGUGGUCGCUUAAGUCGGAUGUGAAAGCCCUCGGCUCAACUGAGGAAGUGCAUCCGAAACUGAGUGGCUAGAGUAUGGAAGAGGGUCGCGGAAUUCCCGGUGUAGAGGUGAAAUUCGUAGAUAUCGGGAGGAACACCGGUGGCGAAGGCGGCGACCUGGGCCAAUACUGACACUGAGGUGCGAAAGCGUGGGGAGCAAACAGG